RNAcentral lists this transfer RNA (76 nucleotides) under Sargassum hemiphyllum var. chinense. Its description in RNAcentral is "tRNA-Cys". Lineage: Eukaryota; Phaeophyceae; Fucales; Sargassaceae. The record is from RNAcentral.
AAUUAGGCGACACCCAGAUUCGAACUGGGGAUAGAGGAUUUGCAAUCCACAGCCUUACCACUUGGCUAUAUCGCCU